UCGGUGGGGGAUUAGUGGCGAACGGGUGAGUAACACGUGGGCAAUCUGCCCUUCACUCUGGGACAAGCCCUGGAAACGGGGUCUAAUACCGGAUAACACCGGCUUCCGCAUGGGAGCUGGUUGAAAGCUCCGGCGGUGAAGGAUGAGCCCGCGGCCUAUCAGCUUGUUGGUGGGGUGAUGGCCUACCAAGGCGACGACGGGUAGCCGGCCUGAGAGGGCGACCGGCCACACUGGGACUGAGACACGGCCCAGACUCCUACGGGAGGCAGCAGUGGGGAAUAUUGCACAAUGGGCGAAAGCCUGAUGCAGCGACGCCGCGUGAGGGAUGACGGCCUUCGGGUUGUAAACCUCUUUCAGCAGGGAAGAAGCGAAAGUGACGGUACCUGCAGAAGAAGCGCCGGCUAACUACGUGCCAGCAGCCGCGGUAAUACGUAGGGCGCAAGCGUUGUCCGGAAUUAUUGGGCGUAAAGAGCUCGUAGGCGGCUUGUCGCGUCGGAUGUGAAAGCCCGGGGCUUAACCCCGGGUCUGCAUUCGAUACGGGCAGGCUAGAGUGUGGUAGGGGAGAUCGGAAUUCCUGGUGUAGCGGUGAAAUGCGCAGAUAUCAGGAGGAACACCGGUGGCGAAGGCGGAUCUCUGGGCCAUUACUGACGCUGAGGAGCGAAAGCGUGGGGAGCGAACAGGAUUAGAUACCCUGGUAGUCCACGCCGUAAACGUUGGGAACUAGGUGUUGGCGACAUUCCACGUCGUCGGUGCCGCAGCUAACGCAUUAAGUUCCCCGCCUGGGG
This 785-nucleotide ribosomal RNA is filed under the name Streptomyces purpureus. Its description in RNAcentral is "bacterial SSU rRNA". It matches the Rfam family "Bacterial small subunit ribosomal RNA", at positions 80 to 878 of the family's 1533-position model. The record is from RNAcentral. Lineage: Bacteria; Bacillati; Actinomycetota; Actinomycetes; Kitasatosporales; Streptomycetaceae.